This 584-nucleotide ribosomal RNA is filed under the name uncultured bacterium. RNAcentral's name for it is "partial 16S ribosomal RNA". It matches the Rfam family "Bacterial small subunit ribosomal RNA", at positions 355 to 1376 of the family's 1533-position model. The record is from RNAcentral.
UGGGGAAUUUUGGACAAUGGGCGCAAGCCUGAUCCAGCCAUGCCGCGUGCGGGAAGAAGGCCUUCGGGUUGUAAACCGCUUUUGUCAGGGAAGAAAUCUUCUGAGUUAAUACCUCGGGAGGAUGACGGUACCUGAAGAAUAAGCACCGGCUAACUACGUGCCAGCAGCCGCGGUAAUACGUGGGUGCAAGCGUUAAUCGGAAUUACUGGGCGUAAAGCGUGCGCAGGCGGUUUUGUAAGACAGAGGUGAAAUCCCCGGGCUCAACCUGGGAACUGCCUUUGUGACUGCAAGGCUUGAGUGCGGCAGAGGGGGAUGGAAUUCCGCGUGUAGCAGUGAAAUGCGUAGAUAUGCGGAGGAACACCGAUGGCGAAGGCAAUCCCCUGGCUGCACUGACGCUCAUGCACGAAAGCGUGGGGAGCAAAACAGAUUAGAUACCCCUGGUAGUCCACGCCCUAAACGAUGUCAACUGGUUGUUGGGAAGGUUCCUUCUCAGUAACGUAGCUAACGCGUGAAGUUGACCGCCUGGGGAGUACGGCCGCAAGGUUGAAACUCAAAUGAAUUGACGGGGUCAUAGCUGUUUCCUG